UGCCUGGUUUUACGUUCCAUUUUAAACUGAAUUUUAAUUGUUGACAAUUCUCACUUCAGUGAAUAUCCCUGUAAACCUUUGUAAUCUCAAGUCACCCUAAUGUUUCCCCAAUGUCCCCUCAUCCUCUUAACCCUAUAAGAAUAAUUCAACCCUAACAACUCCCACAAAUAAAAAAAAUCCUUUACUUACAUAAGUGUUCUUUUUGUAUCAAGGAAAUUCUAAUUCAGCUGCAAUUUGGUUUGAGUUCUGUGUUGAGAACAGCGAUUUUGAAAUACAUCUCACCACAGCAAUGAGAUCCAUUUAAUAAUAGAAUUGAUCUAUUACUGUGACCCAAUACAUUGGGCCAAAGAGGAUGUUUCACAAUUGAAUGCAGGAGAAUGCAUUAAAUUGUAAUAGACCCUACGUGUGUAUUUCCCAAGACCUGUUCCAUUGUUUUCUUAGUUAACAGUGUUACACAAUUCUUAAUUGUCAUUGUAAGUCAUUACAUUUCUUUGUAUUCUUGAUUAGAAUUGGUCAUUGGUUUGAACAAUUUAAUAUGUUGAAAAGUUCUGACAGAUUAUGGUUUCUUUAAAUGCUGCUUUUUUUUUUUUUUGGUCUGAAAAACCAUGAAAUAAGUAGAUGGCUUCAUUAUCUGCAUGUCUGAUAAAAGGCAGCACAGUAUGAUCGCGAUAGGUGACCAAGUAUACAUAUUCAUCAUUGGCUAAAGGAAUGUUCUAACUACCAAUAUUGCCACUGCUCGUUGUAGAUUUUGGUGCUGUUAAGAUUCUGUUUUGGAAUUAUUUCAAAUUUACUUCGUCUUGCCCCUCAUCACAGGUAUUGCAAAAGUGGAAGAUCUGCGAUUUAGGAAUUUUAGGUUUGUGCAAACUUAGAGUUCAUUGUCCAUCCUUCUCUAAUAUAGAUAAAGUGGACAUUCUCCCUCCACAAUAGAUAUAUAAAUUUAAUCGUGUUUUGGACUUAACUCAUUGGUUGUAAGCAUCAGCUAACGCGCUCAGCCAGUUCAUGCUAUCUAAACACAGCUGGAAUUGUUAUCACGAAAGCAAACUAAUCCGCUUUAGUGCUAUAGGAGCGAAAUGAUGGACCAUGGGGACCGGAGGUGUCAAACUGUUCUCUACCUUGGGAUGGUGUCAGGUGACUCCUACCACCAUAAACCCUAAAGGCUUUCCUGCUUAUGGUGUUAAAAGUGCCUCUUUAAACGCUGCAUAGAAAUGCACUUUGAGUCCUGUGUUAAAUACUCCAUAAUUGUCAAUAUUUGAGUAGAGUACUUUAAAUGGAUCCAAUGGAAUGUAUUCACAGCUUGUGAAGAAUUGACAAAAGUAUUGCAUAUUUCGACCUAAAUUAAUGAUAAAAUUAUCCUGCUGCUAUUAAAAAAAAA
Molecule: non-coding RNA, 1372 nt
Organism: Pelobates cultripes (western spadefoot toad)
Lineage: Eukaryota; Metazoa; Chordata; Amphibia; Anura; Pelobatidae
Source: the annotation of a GenBank genome assembly